Betta splendens (Siamese fighting fish) is the source of this 6207-nucleotide long non-coding RNA. RefSeq lists it as uncharacterized. Lineage: Eukaryota; Metazoa; Chordata; Actinopteri; Anabantiformes; Osphronemidae. The record is from RefSeq and is a predicted model, not a curated record. The transcript has 4 exons.
CUGGAGCUCUGUGGAGAGGAGGAAUCCUCCCACUGCUCUCUGACUCAACACUCGGUUAAGUACACCAGAGUUCACAGAGAGUUCUAGAGCUGGAUCAGGAGUACAGGCUCCAGUAGAUGGUGUUAAAGAGCAGACCGGCGCCGCCGAAGGCGAGUCCCCUCCAUGGGGCGCAUGUCGGGGGUUUGGCUGGGGGUGGUGAGAGGGUCGGAGGUCAUGGUGGGUGUCAGCUUGGGGAACGGAGCCAGCUCAAUUUCAUCAUCGUGGAAGCAGCCGUCGAAGGCCAUGGCCUGGGCGGCGUUGAAGGUGGAUGGGAUCUGAAAACGCAAAGAACAAGGACUGAGACAGCGGGCAUCUGCUCUCUAUCAGAUGAAGAUGCUCUUUUUGAUUCACAUGGGUCUAUGAGAACAGCCAAACAAAUCAGGUUUCAGGUCAGAACCCCAAUAAGCUGAGUACAUAAAAACAAAUGUAGAAUAAAAGACUGUCACAUCUGAGUAGUGUCGGCUAAGGCAGUGCUAAUAUGCUAACAUGCAGAUCUGGUGGUGGUGAUGUCUUUCUGUGGCCACUAGAGUGAGACAGAAAGUAAAGCUUAAGUGUCUGCUGCGCCAUCGCUCCUCUCACUGCCUCCCUCUUCUACUAAUCCCCUCUGUCCCCUGCGCUGACCUUCCCUCCCCUCAUCUUCCUCAUCUCCUCCAGCGUGGUGCAGUAGUUCACCGCCGCGUAUUCGAUCACAGACAGAAACACAAACAGGAAGCUGGUCCACAGGUAGAUGUCGACCGCUUUCACAUAUGACACCUGGAGAAAAGAGACAAACACGUUCAAAGGCUUUCAGUUUUACUGAACAGAUGAGCUUAAAUCUUAAAAUAUGAUCAGAGUUAUAACGUAUUUGUACCAAUAUGAAAAUUUAAAAAAGUCAAUACAUUUAAAUCUGUUCAACCGUAGAACCAAAUGUGUAAUUGAUUGUAACUACAGCUGAAUCAGUUGAAACACAUGUAAAUGUUUAACUGACACAGCUUAGAGAUGAACUAAAGGUGAUGGCCGCUGUCUAAUCUGUGUUACCUGAGGCAUAGAGGAGGACACCCCUGUGAUGAUGGUGGACAUGGUGAGCACUGUGGUCAUACCUGCAGGAGGAGAAAACAGCCGAGUGAGUUUCUGGUUAGUGGACAUUUGUGUUAUUUGUUGUUACGGUGGAGCUGGGGUGCGUUACCCAGAGAGACCCGGGCGGGAACGGCCCGCCUGUCGAUCCAGAAGGAGACCCAGGACAGGACGACCAUCAGCAUGGUGGGAAAGUAGGUCUGCAGCAUGAAGAAGAAGAUGUGCCUCCGCAGGAUGAAGUUGAUGAAGAGACGAUUGUACCAACCUGACGCAAACACACAGAGUGUGAAGCUCAAACGGGCCAAGGAACAGUCAAACAGGAAACAGCUGGUGAAACACUGGUGCUUUGGUUGAAGGCAGAUCAGCUAGAUGACGUGACUUCAUGGUCAUGGUCUGUGGUACAAACCCACAGAAACUGUUUGUUUUGACUCCUGGGACCCACUUCACCCACACGCUGGUGAUCAAAGGUUCAAGCCACAUUACAUUGUUUACUGUAACCUUCGCUGACAUGUUUGCAAAACUAGUUGAAGGCUGCAGGCGCCGCAGUGGACGCGAGCAGAACCGGGUUCCAGACGCCCUGCACUCACCUGUGCUGCUGUAGAACGCCAGGCCACUGGAGGCGUGGAUGUUCUCAAUGAAGAACUGGGACAAGACGAUCUCAUCGAUCCUCAGAGAGUCGUUCCCCUUCUUCCAGUAAAGCAUCAGGUCGUUCUCAUUGUAGGCGUCUGCGGACACGAGGAAGAUGAGGUUACUGUCCGAGCAUCUCCUUCUGUUGUGUUACAGCAGUGUCAGUGCUGGGCGCUCACAGCUCUCCAGCUCCAGGGAGCAGUUCUGCGUGUCCAGAGGGAAGCUGCUGAAGUCCAUCGAGCACAGAGCCGUGACGGUGACCCUGAAACAUCACACAGUCCAGCUUUUAUCCUCCCUCCCGUUGCCAUGGAAACCAGAGCGAAACACCUCUCUGCGAGCUGCUUCCUACCUGACGCUGUAGAGGAUGUUCCCGUCGGGGUAAACCCGCAGCAUGAUGUUCUCUGUGGUGGUGUCGUGGAUGAAGGAGCGCUUGGAGUGGACGAAGAAGACGUCGGGGACCCAGAUCUUCUUCACCAGGCGAGAGUCAAACGUCCUGCUGAGGUUGGUGCGAGAAGGAAACGACAGCCGCUCGUCUUUCCAGUAGUGACGCAGGUACAGAGUCAUGGUGAAGUCCUGGGCAAGUAAGGGAGGAAGAGGAGGCUUGUUCAUGGGUUCACAGGAUGCAACGCUUGGAACAUAAGAGUGGUCAUAGAUGCUAGAAGUCUGGUCCAGACAUUAGCGGGACCACCUCAUAGAAUUCUAAUACACUGCUUUAAUCCCAGCUGGGGGAAACACCAGCAGCUCCAAGGCCACAGCUGGUUGUCAGCUGGAUGUUUAACCAUGAGUCCGAGCCACAGCACAGACUGACACUCACUCACUCCAACACACAGCAGCUUGGAAUGAAAGUCACUGAAGCUGAGUUUGUGAUGGGACCGUUCCAGUGUUUAGUGGAUGGGAAGGAUGUUUGCAGACGCUGGACGGGAGAAACACUGGUGCAGUUCAUCACAGUGAACAGACCACACACACGAGUCCCUCUGAAGGAAUUAAAACACGCACAGCGAGCGUGAGGCAGCGAGAGCUCCGAGUUUCAGAUCAUCCUCAGGACGCCACAGUUUGACGCAGGCAUGAAACACAACAGGCAGGAAAUGGUUUCUCACCAUGUUGACCUCAGAGAUGCUGUCGAUGCUCUCCACCUGCACGUCGAUGCCCACGGGGAUCGCUCCACCUCAACAAACACAACAACAGGCGUUUUAAAAUCAAGUUGGACUCAAGUUGGACUAAUGAAGCACAAUCAAACAGACUGGAGACAUGUGAUACAGUGUGAAGGGAUGAGUCUGAACAUCGGUGUCACUCAGCUCCAACAGCGUCAACAUGUGACUGCGCCUUGUUAGCAGAUUAAGCUCAACCUAACGAAUGGUUCAAAUCCUCCUCACUCACAACCAGCCUCCAUCAGUGAGCCUCCGCAAAGCGACCGACCUGAAGCUUUCACGACGUGCGUCUGACCCCUAACUAACUUUAGCCAUGUUUGCUUUCUGGGCUAAUUUAGGAGCCGACAGACUACAAUCUGAACCGCAGCCAUCAGACGGUCCCACUAGGAGAAAGGAGCACGCAUUCUCACACACUGUGGGUUAGGGCGACCUCAGCCUCAGCGGACAACAUUCCUGGAGGAAAGGAAAGUACUCCCAAGUGUGUGCGUCUGUGUGUGACCCUGGAUGUGGAUGCAGCAGCUCAGUGAACACUUCACCUAAUGAAGUUCACAGCCAUAAAGCUUCUGGAGCAGCAGCUUCAGCGUAGCCCAGGAAACAGAAUGUCAGAGGUUCUGAUGAACUGGUCCUUGUUCAGCAAAUCUUCAGAAGCAGCUCCUGACGUAACAUUUCAUCUAAUAAAGCUCUAAUAGAAUCCAGUCUUCUGGGUUUGCUGAUCCUGAUCCUCAGUGAAGUGCCUCAGGUGGUGUCUCUGCCAUGUGAGGCAGUGUAAUUAGUGGAUAUUUAUGUGACUGACAGCGCAAAUGUGUGUUUGCUUGUUACCACAAUUCUCUGUCUCCGCAGGAAUUUCUAAAGCGAAGCGCGUGUGCCUGAGUGGAGCAUAAACACGAGGCCACUUUGCUCGUUCGAGGUUUUAUGUUGCAUGUUUAGUGGGGCUCAUCGUCGGAUCCAGCUUUGGACACCGUCGGCUGAACGGGUCCUUUAAUCCCUGAACACAAGGCUGCAGAUGGAUCAAUUCAUGCAGGCAUAAGCAGCAUAAUGCAGCUUUAAGGUCACCGGAUGUUUCCAUCCCGCCUCCAUCGCCACGCCGACUGUUGUGCAUCUACAUCACCACUAAUCAACAGAGGGGGAAGGUGAGAGGUGGAGAGGGAUUAAGAGGAGGUUCGCUGGGCGGCUUUUGGAGAACGUGCUCGUCAGAACACACACUGCUCCGUCCAGCCGUCCUAAUGGCUGACGGUUGGCACUGGAAACUCCUGCUUUCAGCGUUCUACUGACGGCGGCGACCUCCAAGUCUGCUGAUUCCUGCUCGCUGCAGAAGGAUGGAGCUUAGAGUGGGAUUUUUCCCUCCGUCAUCUGGUGUUGUGCUCUCACUCAGCUGGGUUUGUGGCUGAAAAAACAACGGAGCCAAUCAGAGCUUUGUGUGCGGGAUUAACCAGGGCGAAGUCACCGCGCGGAGCCAGAACCAAAGAAACCAGCACGGGCUGAGUCCAGUUAAAGGAGGAAGCCUCAUUCCAUGCUGUAACCAUGCUCCCAUCGAACCCCAAGCUAACAAUGUGCGUUAACUCAUGAGGUUUAUUCAUACGACGGGACUCUGGACUCACUCACCUGAAUUUAUGACUCUGUUAUUGUCAGACUGCAUAUUUGCAGUCACAUUACAUCAGUGAGCCAUCUGAAUUAAUUCAUUGCAACAGUAAGUCUGUGAAUCCUCAAGUCUAAAAGCAUUUCCAGCGUGGGAGCGCUGCUUCAUUAGCCGGCGUUACGAGCAUCCGGCAUCACAGCGCGUCACUACGAAGGCCAGAUGUGAAGUUUACAGACAACUUUUAACUUUAUAGAUGUUCUUUAAAUGUGUUCUCCUGGGAGACGGAGUAUUUCUAGACUCUGGUCCAGGGAGGGAGGAGGAGGGGAAUAGUUUUGAUUCUUUGGCUUCGUGGCCAAAGCAGCAGCCAUAGGUUUAUCUCCCAACAAGCUGAGAUUUCCCUGAGUAGAAUUACAGUGGCUGGAAAGGCCACAGAAGCAUGUGGCCCAGCGGAGCUUCUGUGCCCACCCUGAAACACCGGCCGGACCACAGAGACGCCAGGCAGCGGCCUCUCAGGCUGAGGAGAGGGUGGGACACAAGACUGGACCCAAGAAUGAGCACCACCGGGUUGAUGGACCACCCCUGGGUUCUGCUGCAGGUUCUCCUCUCUGCUGCCUCUUGGUGAUUUCUAAACACUAUUUAACCUACACUGUAGUUUACUGUGAAUUGACGCUAUAUAAAUAACCUCCGUCCCAUAGAGACGACUGGAUGUCUGAGGAUCUACGGCCCCGUCCAUUGUUCGAAAACGUGUUCACCUUUUAUAACAUGUCUUGUCAAGUAAACAGCUCUUAGGCUCAGACAGGCAACACGAACGCCUGCCGCUGUCAUUUUCCCUGUAAUCAUAUCCCAGCAGGCUGUGUUCAGACAGGCAUCAGCACGGAGCUGAAGCUCAUUCACUAAAUGGGCUCAUGGAUGGACCUAGGCAGGAGGCGAAGGUCCACAGCUACAGGAGGAACGCGCUGUGGUCUUGUUGCUCAGGCGGCUCAGACACGAGGCCGGAUGUGGGUUUUAAAUAUUUAACUCCAAUCAACCCAUUUUCCCACCAAAGUGCUUCAGUUGCAUAAUCUCCGGUCAAACUUUGUUCCUAAUCUGGUCGAAGGUCUUGAACUGUGCAGACCCAGCAUUCACCUGGACCUCUGCCUAAAACCAGCAAGGCCCAAACUGUAACAUAUGAAGAACGAGCAGCCGUCAGACACGUCUUUAAUGUAGAACUUCCCACCUUUUGUUGACGCAAAUGCACAGUUACUGUAUUUUAGACUUGUAUGUGGAUCCAUUUAAGAGCUUUUAGUUCACAUCACUUUAAUCCAGAGGAAGGCCUAUUAUGAAAGCCUGCAGCGCGGCAUCGUGUGCUCCCACGCAUGCAUUGUUGUGUGUUUGAUAGUGGUGAUCUUCAGCACAGACGUCAGUUUGUUUCCCACCCCUCCAUCUGCUCCAGACCUGCAGCAUAAUCCAGAUUAAUGCACACGAAUCCCCCCGACUCACACAGAACACACAAUGGACACACACACACAAACACACACACACGCACAAUUACAUCUGAGUGAGUGCUGUUUUUUCAAAUGCAUUAAUGCUUUCUCUCUGUCACACACCAAUGCAGCUGCACAAUGGUGUAAUCUGGGUCAGUGCUGGCGAUUGUGGACGCUCGUAUCUGUUGUGGAGUGACCCAGUGCCCAUCGCCACAUCCUCAAACCUGCAGCGGAUGAUGUGUGAGUGAGUGGAUUAAGUCAUGGGGAUCACAGAUGAAAUGAGGUGUGCGUCUGACCUCCG